AGUGAACGCUGGCGGUAGGCCUAACACAUGCAAGUCGAACGGCAGCACAGUAAAAGCUUGCUCUUACGGGUGGCGAGUGGCGGACGGGUGAGGAAUACAUCGGAAUCUACUUUUUCGUGGGGGAUAACGUAGGGAAACUUACGCUAAUACCGCAUACGACCUACGGGUGAAAGCAGGGAAUCUUCGUACCUUGCGCGAUUGAAUGAGCCGAUGUCGGAUUAGCUAGUUGGCGGGGUAAAGGCCCACCAAGGCGACGAUCCGUAGCUGGUCUGAGAGGAUGAUCAGCCACACUGGAACUGAGACACGGUCCAGACUCCUACGGGAGGCAGCAGUGGGGAAUAUUGGACAAUGGGCGCAAGCCUGAUCCAGCCAUACCGCGUGGGUGAAGAAGGCCUUCGGGUUGUAAAGCCCUUUUGUUGGGAAAGAAAAGCAGCAGGUUAAUACCCCGCUGUUCUGACGGUACCCAAAGAAUAAGCACCGGCUAACUUCGUG
This 492-nucleotide ribosomal RNA is filed under the name uncultured bacterium. RNAcentral's name for it is "partial 16S ribosomal RNA". It matches the Rfam family "Bacterial small subunit ribosomal RNA", at positions 29 to 507 of the family's 1533-position model. The record is from RNAcentral.